UGCCAGCCGCCGCGGUAAUACGAAGGGGGCAAGCGUUGUUCGGAAUCACUGGGCGUAAAGCGCACGUAGGCGGAUCGUUAAGUCAGGGGUGAAAUCCCGAGGCUCAACCUCGGAACUGCCUUUGAUACUGGCGAUCUUUGAGUCCGGGAGAGGUGAGUGGAAUUCCGAGUGUAGAGGUGAAAUUCGUAGAUAUUCGGAAGAACACCAGUGGCGAAGGUGGCUAACUGGACUGAUACUGACGCUGAGGUGCGAAAGUGUGGGGAGCAAACAGGAUUAGAUA
RNAcentral lists this ribosomal RNA (280 nucleotides) under uncultured bacterium. RNAcentral describes it as "partial 16S ribosomal RNA". It matches the Rfam family "Bacterial small subunit ribosomal RNA", at positions 506 to 784 of the family's 1533-position model. The record is from RNAcentral.